CACAUGCUCUCCCAACCCUGCCUUAAAACAAAAGCCGCUUGAAAUAAUUAAUCCAAGAUCUGGCAGGGGUCUGCUCUCAAGAAGGCUUUUUUUUUCUUCUUCUUCUUUCUUUCUUUUCGUAACUAGCCAGCCUACCAUACUCAGAUAAGGCCAGCCGCACACCCUCCGCCCCACUUCUCCAGAAACUCCAAGGCUCGGAACAACGGGGUCAGGACGCCAAAGCCCCGGGAAGGUUUCAGUACCCCAGACCAACCAAUUCCUUUCCACUGACCGGCUCCGAAAGGCCCUCCUUUCAAGUGGCUUGGGUGGAGUCAGACCCACGCCCAACCUGUAUCACCUGAAACGCCAAAGAAGCCUCAGGAUGUAUUGGCCGUGAGCCUGUUUUUGUACCGAGCGCUGUGGCACCAGAGACCCAUCAAGGUCGUGGGAGUCAGCGGGGUUCUACUGUCCUGCGAUUUUCAGUGCCUGAGGAGACAGACAGUAAACAAGGAAGCAAACAGAUAAAAAUGACUCAAUCUCAUCUUCCAGUUAAGCUUAAUCUGUUAAUUGAAAGUGGUAAACACUUUCCCUAACUCUUGGGAAUUUGUGACACUCAAACACGAUUAUGCAUACGAGCGCUUUGUUAUUUAAAAGCACGGUGCUUAAGGUAUUAAAUAACUUGGCUAAGAUCACGUCGCAGUAGGCAACGACUGGUUUAGCACUUAAUUACAUAAUUGUCUUAAAACAAUUGCUUUUCUCUAUGAUCUGGCCUUGAGGAUCCGAAUCAUGGACAGAUCCAGCUCAUUACACCUCUUAUUGGGCAAUCGCAAAAGCUUCCUAACCGGCCUGACACUAGUGUAGGCCUCAGACUUAGAGCCCACGUGAAUCACUUCUAUUAAGAGAUGUUACAUAUGCAGACUCCCAGGCCUCCAGCUCAGAGAUUCUGAUUCAGUAGUUAAAGGGUGGGCCCCAGAAUGCCUUGUCUCCACCUCCCCCCACCCCUCCGCUGCCAAAUUCCCUUGCAAUUAUGCUAAGAGAAAGAAUGCUCUGAUCUUACUCAAAAUCCAGCCUCUCUGCUGGGCCAGCAUUUUAUAUUACUGAAACAUGAAUCUGAUCGCUUACUUAUCUCGCUUUAUUGGUCCCUGUUAUUUACUGGAUAAAGUCAAAUUAUAGCAGACUGUUUCAGUGUGGCCUUUGCCUGUUUUCCUAGUGCCAGAUACACUCUUCUUCCUCACAUAUUCUUGGUUAGCUCCAAAGCUUUUGUUGUUGACAUCCCUUGAACACAGGAUAUUCUUUCUUGACUGUGAUUUUGUACACGGUAUGACUUAUGUUUAAGUGCCUUUCCUUUCUGUAACUGACACAACUUGGCAAGAUUCAGCUAACAAUACACUUCUUCUGUGGCUCACCGUU
Long non-coding RNA from Nyctereutes procyonoides (raccoon dog), 1389 nucleotides. RefSeq lists it as uncharacterized. NCBI's taxonomy places the organism in Eukaryota, Metazoa, Chordata, Mammalia, Carnivora, Canidae. The record is from RefSeq and is a predicted model, not a curated record. The transcript has 2 exons.